Long non-coding RNA from Pogoniulus pusillus (Red-fronted tinkerbird), 4114 nucleotides. RefSeq lists it as uncharacterized. The record is from RefSeq and is a predicted model, not a curated record. NCBI's taxonomy places the organism in Eukaryota, Metazoa, Chordata, Aves, Piciformes, Lybiidae. The transcript has 3 exons.
ACCGCUCGCCAGCCCAUGAAGCCAAUCAAGGCGAUGUAGACAGCUACCAGGCAGCUGGCAACAGGAGGAGGAAGAAGAGAGGACAGGAUGUGGCAGCCAAGCAGAAGCCCAGAAAGGCAGGAGCAGUUCUGUGAUACGUGGAAUUGUGUCCAUGCCACCUUCCCAGCUCCAGCCAUCUGUGAUGCUAUAAGCAUGUGCCAGGGAACCAAACUUGCCCCAGCUACCUCUCUAACCUUAAGAGAAAGACUCAUCUGUGGUGUGGCUCCUCUGACCGUGGUGGAUUUUAAUCAAAGGAUGAGUGCUUCCCACUGCCUGGGGCUUAAGCUGUACAUGAAUAAACAAAGCCUGUGGCCCAGUAACUCAUCACUAAGUAAAAAGGGUAACAGCUGGGCACUGUGGCAUCCCUUUAGGACUGACAGCACACUCACCAUGAAUGAAGUAGCCCUGCUCCUGCCAGAUGAGAAAGGCGUCUCCCACUGCCGAGAAUAUGAGUCCUGCUAGGAUGCGGCUGGCGCUCCGGUGUGACACUAAGAAGUUAAUUCCAUGAGCCAGAAGGAAAACCCACAAGCAGAAGAUGGGCAAACAUUUGAUGAGAGCACUGAACCAGGAGGGGCUGGAAGUUGGCAACCAGAGGACAAAAUAGACGCAAGUGGCUUUAAAGAAGGGCACUAGUUUGGGGCCUUCACUCUUCACCUGAAAGAAAGAAACAUUGACAAUAGUAAAUUAAAGAGGGGCAUCAGUAGAGCAAACUGUGUAACUGAACUGUCUCCUUCCUCUGAAAGCUGCUCUUUCAUCUAUGAUGCCAGCUAGCAGCAUUUCUACCCUAAGAAGGGCUGGCUGAACUUGACAAUGGAGGUUGCUUUUGGCAUCGCCGCAUGACUUCAAACCCCAUCACCUCAGCCUCUCAGGGCAGGAUGUGAGUUCCUCAGCUGACUAAUGACAGCAUCAAUCAGGUGUUGCUUUGCUCUAGCAAUACACUAAUAACAUACUGCCCAUACUACAGGAAGCGUUUUGACUCAAGGCUCUGCUGUGUAAACCCAGACACAGAAAUGCAGCCUGACCACAGGGCUACUUGUAACAAAGCCACAGCAGAGGCAGGGACCAGAGUGACAGACUCCACAAGCUGGGCCUGUUCUUACCAUACAUCUAGCUGAGACCACUCUGGGCAGUGAUAAGAUGCACCUGGUGUUCACCUGCCUUCCUGUGAUACAUCUGCAUUCUUAGUGCAGGUGGAGAAAACCCCACAGGAAAAACAAAGCUGUGGUUUUAUUUUCCUCCUGAGGUGCAGCUGAGGGCCAAAACUAGGAAGAAAGGAAUAGAAUGUGACAGCCUCUGGUGCCUGCCUGGGGUCUUUCAGGACUGUUUCCUCCUGCAGAAAAGGCAGUGCAGCCUUCAGAACUGCCCUGCAAGCAAGGGUUGCUUUCAUCUUCUCAUUUCUUUGGUCAGUCAAGAUUUAGUCGCUUAGUAUCACAAUUUCCCACUACUCAUAGCCAAAGCACAGAGAAUCCUCCUGCACUGGAGGAGGACAUGGUGCAGAAUACAGAAGCAGUGGAGCUGGGUUCACACUGCAAAGCCCAUCAUAUCUGAACACCCAUGUGUGACUCUCUGGGGUGCUGACACAAGGAGCCCAAGCUCCAAAAACCUGCAAAAGAAACAGUGGUCUUUUUUUCCAAAUCACUUGGCCCUAUUUCUGCUUCCUGCAUCAUGAGACAUUGCUGUGACAGAAACCCAGCUUCCAUUUCCCUUUGAUGCAAUGUGCCUUGGUGCAGAUACUCAAAUAGCUGAAGACUGCACAGCAAAUAUCUUCAUGCUUACAGCACUCAGUCAUUAAAGCCUAAACUCAUCAAAAUUCAGAAGCUUUUGCAGACACAAGAGAAGCUGGAAGACAAAGGCAGAGCUGGUGGAGGACACCUUUACAUGCAGUAUCUAAAAAGGGAAUGCAAUCUCUGAAGAAACAAGACCAUAAAUAAAGGGCAUCCCAAGAAGACAGUGCUUUCAAAACUGUUCUCACAUCUGAUGGAAUUUUCCCCAGCACAUCAGCAGUUUCUUAGCAGGAAGGUACUUCAUUAUUCCUAUAUACAUUAUUCAUAGGCUAUUGCCAACACCAUUUUUAAACACUCCAUUAAACAAGCAGGCUACACAAUUCACUCACAAAGGGACAUCAGCAAGCCGUUAACUUUCUUGUAGUACACGGGGAGCCUGUCGUGAGUCCUCUACUUAGGUUGUCUAAAUUAAUCACCAUUUACCACUUCUCCUCUACAUUCCUUGGGAGAAUUCUGGCAGCAAAUAACAAAUGAACUUGACAUAAAACUCAUAAAAGCCCACGGAGUCUCACAGCACAGGGGGUGUCUGCAAACUAUCAAGUAUCACAAGGCAAAGAAUGGAGCCAAGCUUCCUCCUUCAGCCCUUCUAAAGUAGGCUAUCCAAAGCCUGUGCCCACCCAGCUCCAGCUCUGCCUCUUCCCCUUCUGACUCUUUUUCAUUAAGAAGGUAGCUGAUUGCAUUCAUCCUCUCCAGUUGCAGGCAACAGAUGACAGUGCUUCUGGCAGGGUUUCCUCCUCUCCCCCCCACCAUAAUGAGCCCAGGAUCUUCACCAAGGAGCUACAAAGCAUGAAAGCAUUUUCAGCAUCAACAGUGCUCUAGGUCCCUCUAACAGUCUCAGCUAAGGUAGGUGGUUUUGUAUCUCUGAAGACAAAAGUUCAUGCUGAAUGAUACAGUUAAAGCUCAGCCUUGUCUGCAACACAUCCCAGAGGCACUGGUAGAAGCAUACAGGAGAGUGGUUGGGUUAAUAAACACAGGAAGUUUUAUUUAAUACCUCAUAUUAAAAGAGAAACAUCUGCUAGCAGCAGUCACCACUAGAAUCACAGCUUACCCUCCCCUGUGUGUGUGCAUGAUGAGACAGGUUUUAAUUACACUUGCCAUUUUCCCCAGGAGCCUUGCCUUCCUGAAUAGAAGAUAUGCACUUGUGCUGAAAGAUUAUGGUUGCUUGCUAGCCUUGAAAUUACCAUUUUUACUAUUUCAAUAUGAACUUUUCCAAGCCCAGCCAGCAUUAUUUGAAAACAGUGGUCUGUAGUAUUUCCAUUCUCAUAACAAUUAAGGACUUUUUCUAGCACAAGGAGUUUCCAGUCUCAGUUACUCACUUAUAACCUUGGAAUUUAUAGUGUUGCAGAGUCCUUGUGUAAGAAUAACCUCAUGUAUCUAGAAGGGCUACAGGCUUCUCAUUAAUGCUUUACUCCUUGAUGCUUUUUCUACAAGUAGGCUUCAAAUGAGUUAUUUCCCAACCUGCCCUUGCCAUUACUGAAUGAGCAGCUGCAGCUCAGUGGAGCCCUUGUGCUGGCUCCAACCCAAAUGGGUGCCCCACCAGAGACUCCACCUGCUAAGACAGAGGUGCCUGUGCAGCUGAGGGCUGGCCAGCACAUCCUGCUGGGAUAGCAUGGCACUGGAAAUACUCUCCUGAGAAAGGCUGAGGUAACCAGAGGGUGAAGAUGGGGGAUUUGCUUCUGUUUGGAUAUGUGGCCAAGGCCUGGGAAGAGGUGAUGGGGCAACUUACCACCUGGAGGACAAGUCAAGGCUGGCAUAGGGAAACCAUGUACCAACAAGUGGAGACUGUGGCUUGAGGAAAGACAAGCACGUCAUUCAUGACUGGACUUGCCUGUACCUCAGGGAAGGGAACACUAUUUCUAGGCUGCAUCAAAACACCCAUCCUCUUUUUGCACCUCUGUCUCACAGAAUAUGAGCUGGGGCUGUGCCACUUGCAGAGGUGACAAGGUCCUCUUUGCUAAUCCCUGUGAUUUUCAUGGCUUUAAGCUGGGUUUUGACAUUUUGUUACAAAUUCUAUCGCAUUUUGCUUCCUACUCAUUUUCUUCUCCUGUUGCUAUUUUACUCUGGGCUAAAAUGCAGUACAGAAAACAUCCUGAAUGCAAUGGCAAGGCAGAAAUUCCAAUUUUGAAUUUCUAAACUGAGCAUAAUUUAAGGCAUUUUUUCAAGUGCUAUGUUACUUAGUACUAUGUUACUUAGUCUUUAGAAAUCAGUUUACAUUCCUGUAAAUCCACUACCUCUGUGGAAUUCCAGUGAAAGUAUCAUCUAUUAAAUUAUCUGUAUCCAGCCACACCAAA